RNAcentral lists this ribosomal RNA (484 nucleotides) under uncultured bacterium. RNAcentral's name for it is "partial 16S ribosomal RNA". It matches the Rfam family "Bacterial small subunit ribosomal RNA", at positions 30 to 507 of the family's 1533-position model. The record is from RNAcentral.
AUUGAACGCUGGCGGAAUGCUUUACACAUGCAAGUCGAACGGCAGCACGGGGGCAACCCUGGUGGCGAGUGGCGAACGGGUGAGUAAUACAUCGGAACGUGCCCGGUCGUGGGGGAUAACGUAGCGAAAGUUACGCUAAUACCGCAUACGAUCUGAGGAUGAAAGCGGGGGACCUUCGGGCCUCGCGCGAUCUGAUCGGCCGAUGUCAGAUUAGGUAGUUGGUGGGGUAAAGGCCUACCAAGCCGACGAUCUGUAGCUGGUCUGAGAGGACGACCAGCCACACUGGGACUGAGACACGGCCCAGACUCCUACGGGAGGCAGCAGUGGGGAAUUUUGGACAAUGGGCGCAAGCCUGAUCCAGCCAUUCCGCGUGCAGGACGAAGGCCUUCGGGUUGUAAACUGCUUUUGUAUGGAACGAAAAGGCUCUGGCUAAUACCUGGGGCUCAUGACGGUACCGUAAGAAUAAGCACCGGCUAACUACGUG